RNAcentral lists this transfer RNA (71 nucleotides) under Nanorana yunnanensis (Yunan spiny frog). RNAcentral's name for it is "tRNA-Ile". It matches the Rfam family "tRNA". From Rfam's summary of the family: Transfer RNA (tRNA) molecules are approximately 80 nucleotides in length. Their secondary structure includes four short double-helical elements and three loops (D, anti-codon, and T loops). Lineage: Eukaryota; Metazoa; Chordata; Amphibia; Anura; Dicroglossidae. The record is from RNAcentral.
GAAAACGUGCCCGAAAGAUAAGGUUCUCCUUGAUAGGGAGACUCAUAGGGGUUCAAACCCCCUCGUUUUCU